UAUUAAAGGCAACGCCUGCCCAGUGAAUAAUUAAACGGCCGCGGUACCCUAACCGUGCAAAGGUAGCGUAAUCACUUGUCUAUUAAUUGUAGACCCGUAUGAAAGGCAUAAUGAGGGUCUAACUGUCUCUUUUAGUAAAUCAAUUAAACUGAUCCCCUAGUCCAAAAGCUAGAAUAAUAACAUAAGACCAGAAGACCCUGUGAAGCUUUAACUAAACUGUUAAACCACAUAACAGCUCCUUUAGGUUGGGGCGACCUUGGAAAAAAAAAGAACUUCCAAAUAUAUAACACCGAUUUAACCAGGCAGACAAGCCUACAACGACCCAGUAUAACUGAUAGCUGAACCAAGUUACUCCAGGGAUAACAGCGCUAUCUUCUUCAAGAGCCCAUAUCAAAAAGAAGGUUUACGACCUCGAUGUUGGAUCAGGACAUCCUAAUGGUGCAGCCGCUAUUAAGGGUUCGUUUGUUCAACGAUUAAUA
RNAcentral lists this ribosomal RNA (479 nucleotides) under Aspidomorphus schlegelii (Schlegel's crown snake). RNAcentral's name for it is "partial 16S ribosomal RNA". It matches the Rfam family "Bacterial large subunit ribosomal RNA", at positions 1844 to 2593 of the family's 2925-position model. The record is from RNAcentral. Lineage: Eukaryota; Metazoa; Chordata; Lepidosauria; Squamata; Elapidae.